UACGAAGGGGGCUAGCGUUGCUCGGAAUUACUGGGCGUAAAGGGCGCGUAGGCGGCCUUCUAAGUCAGACGUGAAAUCCCCCGGCUUAACCUGGGAACUGCGUCUGAUACUGGGAGGCUUGAGUAUGGGAGAGGGAUGUAGAAUUCCAGGUGUAGCGGUGAAAUGCGUAGAUAUCAAGAGGAACACCUGAGGUGAAGACGGGUUGCUGGGCUGACACUGACGCUGAGGCGCGAAAGCUAGGGUAGCAAACGGG
Molecule: ribosomal RNA, 253 nt
Filed under: uncultured bacterium
Lineage: Bacteria
Description: partial 16S ribosomal RNA
Rfam family: Bacterial small subunit ribosomal RNA
Source: RNAcentral